RNAcentral lists this ribosomal RNA (371 nucleotides) under uncultured bacterium. Its description in RNAcentral is "bacterial SSU rRNA". It matches the Rfam family "Bacterial small subunit ribosomal RNA", at positions 30 to 416 of the family's 1533-position model. The record is from RNAcentral.
AUUGAACGCUGGCGGCAUGGCUAAAACAUGCAAGUCGAGCGCGAAAGAGGAGCAAUCCUCGAGUAGAGCGGCGAAAGGGUGAGUAAUACGUUCCUACGUGCCUUGAGGUCAGGGAUAGCCAGGGGAAACUCUGGGUAAUACCUGAUGUGGUCGAGAGAUCAAAGGCUUGCCGCCUCAAGAGCGGGGAACGUCCUAUCAGCUAGUUGGUGAGGUAACGGCUCACCAAGGCUUAGACGGGUAGCAGGUGUGAGAGCACGGCCUGCCACAUCGGGACUGAGACACUGCCCGGACUCCUACGGGAGGCUGCAGUAACGAAUCUUCCGCAAUGCGCGCAAGCGUGACGGAGCAAUGCCGCGUGCAGGAUGAAGCCC